UAGAGGAAGUAAAAGUCGUAACAAGGUUUCCGUAGGUGAACCUGCGGAAGGAUCAUUAUCGAACGAACGACUGUCGCUGGCUGCCCUUGUGGGGUGGCAUGUGCACGUCUUCAUUUCAUACACCUGUGCAUCUUUUGUAGGUCCCUCCCCAGGGAUCUAUGUUUUUUCAUUAUCACACCGUUACAUGGCCUAGAAUGUAAUCUAUCUCAUGGAACCAUCGACCACUGGGCGGUGGGGAAGUGAAAGACAAAUGUAUAUACAACUUUCAGCAACGGAUCUCUUGGCUCUCGCAUCGAUGAAGAACGCAGCGAAUUGCGAUAAGUAAUGUGAAUUGCAGAUUUUCAGUGAAUCAUCGAAUCUUUGAACGCACCUUGCGCUCCUUGGUAUUCCGAGGAGCAUGCCUGUUUGAGUGUCAUUGAAAUCUCAACCAUGUCCUGUGGACAUGGCUUGGACUCUUGGGGGUUGCUGGCUGCAAGGUCAGCUCUUCUGAAAUGCAUUAGUGAUCGGACGAGCAAGUCCUUGACGUGCACGGCCUUUAGACGUGAUAAUGAUCGUCGUCGGGCUGGAGCGUCGAUAUGUUGUGUUCGGAUCGCUUCCAAUCGACGCUAGGCUUAGUUAUUAGUCGAUGCCGCAAGGCAGCAGACGAACGCAAGCUCUAGACUACUUUGGUACAUGACCUCAAAUCAGGUAGGACUACCCGCUGAACUUAAGCAUAUCAAUA
This 721-nucleotide ribosomal RNA is filed under the name Boletaceae sp. RNAcentral describes it as "eukaryotic LSU rRNA". The stretch from base 261 to 415 matches the Rfam family "5.8S ribosomal RNA". Lineage: Eukaryota; Fungi; Basidiomycota; Agaricomycetes; Boletales; Boletaceae. The record is from RNAcentral.